UACAGAGGGUGCAAACGUUGUUCGGAAUUACUGGGCGUAAAGCGUGUGUAGGCGGCCACGUAAGUCGGAUGUGAAAGCCCUGGGCUCAACCCAGGAAGUGAACUCGAUACUGCGUGGCUCGAGUACUGGAGAGGUUGGUGGAAUUCUCGGUGUAGAGGUGAAAUUCGUAGAUAUCGAGAGGAACACCGGUGGCGAAGGCGGCCAACUGGACAGAUACUGACGCUGAGACACGAAAGCGUGGGGAGCAAACAGG
RNAcentral lists this ribosomal RNA (253 nucleotides) under uncultured bacterium. RNAcentral's name for it is "partial 16S ribosomal RNA". It matches the Rfam family "Bacterial small subunit ribosomal RNA", at positions 524 to 776 of the family's 1533-position model. The record is from RNAcentral.